UGGACCUAUUUGAUCAGUAAAAUGUAUGUUUUGUUUGUGUACAAUGUGGGAAUGCAUGUAUGGAUUGAACUGGUUGUUUUCUUAGUUUUAAAGAUUUGUAGGACAUGUAACUUAUUGCUAAAUGUGCAGACAAGUAGUUUCCUAAUAAACAUGAGGAUUUACAACACAAUCAAUCAAUUGAACAUUAUUACGUGAGACUAUGUAGCUCGUAAAAACGUACAUGUGUAUGAGUGUAUAGUAGGUGUACAUGUGGCUGGGGUCAGUGGCCAGAGAUAUUUU
This 279-nucleotide long non-coding RNA is filed under the name Brassica napus (rape). RNAcentral's name for it is "long non-coding RNA (BNAP_LNC027195)". The record is from RNAcentral. Lineage: Eukaryota; Viridiplantae; Streptophyta; Magnoliopsida; Brassicales; Brassicaceae.